Molecule: non-coding RNA, 1753 nt
Organism: Manis javanica (Malayan pangolin)
Lineage: Eukaryota; Metazoa; Chordata; Mammalia; Pholidota; Manidae
Source: RefSeq, a predicted model, not a curated record
UUUUGAGAAGAGGAAAAGCUAAAAUUCCGUUUGCGCCGCCCGGGAAUCGAACCCGGGUCGCAAGAAUGGGAAUCUUGCAUGAUACCACUACACCAGCGGCGCUCGCGGCGGCUCGGGCGCCUGGGGAGCUUACAGGAUGUGACGCAACUUUCCCCGCGCAGGACUCCGCGGCGCCGCCUCGGUGCCCGGAGACCAAGCGCACGAGCCGGGGUACGGGCGUCUGCAUUCGGGCCCGCGCCGUGGACACCAUGACAACCCGCGGCCUUCGGAGCCGCUAGGGUCAAGGCCCCGGCCGGGCUCCUAGAGGAGCGGGGCUUCGGGGGUCGGGGGCUUUGUGGUGGGCGGGACUGUAGGCGGCUGUCGGGCUUACAGGGGCUCUGUGGGUAAAACUGUAACAUUUCCAGAAUUAUCUCGCCUGGCUUUGGUGCAUUUGCAUAUCCUCGGGUGGAGAGAAGUUCGUCUCCCUGUCAAUGGAGGUAUUUUGCCCCGGGAUUUCCUCUCCCCGGACUUACAGGCUCGCAGGCGGGCGGCCGGCCUCGUGGUGCACUGGGCCUUCUGUGUCUACGGAGUGACGGGCGCCAGCCGAGUCCGCGGGCGUCGCGGUGCCGCUGGCCCUGAAUCACGUGGGAGGCCGAGUCCUGCCGAGGUUCCGCCGGGGUUCGGGGCCGGUCUGGAGGCCGAGGGGCGUGGCCCCUGAUCAGGUGCGGCCUCGCCCAGCGGGCAGGCUUUCCUGAGCGAACCCCCUUCCCGAGGCCGCUUGGCCAGAGCUCACAGGUGGCCUGACCCGGGCUUUGACCCGGGAACCCCCUCCGGGGGCGUUCGGCGGGGAGAAAGUCGCCUCCCGGUUCCAGACAGCCCGGCGGCGCCCCCCCCGCGUUCCCACUGGCUUUCCGUUUCGCAGCCCCACUCUUCUUACCUGACACACCUGCGCUUCACCGCAUCCUGCUUUGUUGUUUUGGGGUCCAGACGUCCCAAAUAAGGUACCAGCUCCCUCCAGAGGCCCUACAGGAAGGUCCUUCCUCACCACUUCCAGCAUCAAGAGGCUUCAGGGGCUCCCGGGCUUGACCACCUUACCCGGGUCGCGGCCUCCGUCCUCACCUAGUUUCUACUCUGCCUUCUGUGUUCACAUCUCCCCCUGCUGCUGCUUCUAAGGACAUCGGACACUAGAUUCAGAUCCCACCCUAAUCCAGGUUGACCUUAUCUCAAAAUCCUUGCCUUAAUUAUAUCUGCAAACACCAUUAUUCCAAAUAAGGUCAUUUCCUGAGGCUCUGGGUGGAUGUUAUCUUUGGGAGCCACCAUUCAACCCGCUGCGCUUGGGUUUGGGGACAGGUCCAGACAGCCCUAGACACCAGGCAGCAGGUGCAGAGACACCCCAACCGGAGCCAGUUCCUGGACGCUGCCAGCCCAGUGGGUACAGAUGUCAGCCUGGGAAGUUAGACGGACAGAGAAGCUGAACUUCUUUCUCCUCGUGUGUUACAUCGUGGUAUCAUCCUUGAAGCCCUCUGGAAGAGGGAAAGAGUGCCUGUUCUCACGAGCCGCCUCGGCGGGGCUGGAGGCCCUUGCUUAGCCAGUGCCAGGAUGCAAUGCCAGGCCAGGGCAGGUUUGCUGCUCAUAGUCAGCCUGUAGGACGAAGGCCUCACCUGGCAGAACCCAGCCAGGAGUGACCCUCAUCCUGGCCCAGGCCCCUCGGCUGGCUCUGCCCGUCUGCAGGGGGAUACCUCCGCUCCCAGGGUCCGCACAGCACCCCAGCCCG